GGCUCUUGGUCAAGGGGUAUGAUUCUCGCUUUGGGUGCUGGAGAUCCGGGUUCAAAUCCCGGACGAGCCC
This 70-nucleotide transfer RNA is filed under the name Merluccius polli (Benguela hake). It matches the Rfam family "tRNA". Rfam says of the family: Transfer RNA (tRNA) molecules are approximately 80 nucleotides in length. Their secondary structure includes four short double-helical elements and three loops (D, anti-codon, and T loops). The record is from Rfam by way of RNAcentral. Lineage: Eukaryota; Metazoa; Chordata; Actinopteri; Gadiformes; Merlucciidae.